Molecule: transfer RNA, 63 nt
Filed under: Stenostomum leucops
Lineage: Eukaryota; Metazoa; Platyhelminthes; Stenostomidae
Description: tRNA-Asp
Source: RNAcentral
GAAGAUUUGGUGAAAAAAUCAUUUUAAAUUGUCAAUUUAAAGUUUUACUUAGUAAAUUCUUCU